ACAUACCGCCCGUCACUCUCCCCUAGUCUAAAAAACCUUUAAAUAUUUAAUAAGUUUUACCAGCAAAGAGGAGGCAAGUCGUAACAUGGUAAGUGUACCGGAAGGUGUACUUGGACAAUUCAAAAUGUGGCUCAAACUAGAAAAGCAUCUCUCUUAC
This 157-nucleotide ribosomal RNA is filed under the name Betta imbellis (crescent betta). Its description in RNAcentral is "partial 12S ribosomal RNA". Lineage: Eukaryota; Metazoa; Chordata; Actinopteri; Anabantiformes; Osphronemidae. The record is from RNAcentral.